This 1399-nucleotide ribosomal RNA is filed under the name uncultured bacterium. Its description in RNAcentral is "bacterial SSU rRNA". It matches the Rfam family "Bacterial small subunit ribosomal RNA". The record is from RNAcentral.
UUAGAGUUUGAUCCUGGCUCAGGAUGAACGCUAGCUACAGGCUUAACACAUGCAAGUCGAGGGGCAGCGGGAGGGUAGCUUGCUACUCUUGCCGGCGACCGGCGGAUGGGUGAGUAACGCGUAUCCAACCUGCCCCGCGCCCGGGGAUAGCCCUUAGAAAUGAGGAUUAAGACCCGAUACCUGCCAGGGCCGCAUGGCUCUGCCAGAAAACGAGGCACGGGAUGGGGAUGCGUUGGAUUAGCUUGCCGGCGGGGUGACGGCCCACCGGGGCGACGAUCCAUAGGGGUUCUGAGAGGAAGGUCCCCCACACUGGUACUGAGACACGGACCAGACUCCUACGGGAGGCAGCAGUGAGGAAUAUUGGUCAAUGGGCGAGAGCCUGAACCAGCCAAGUAGCGUGCAGGAUGACGGCCCUAUGGGUUGUAAACUGCUUUUAACCGGGAAUAACGUUACCUUCGUGAAGGUAAGUGCAUGUACCGGUUGAAUAAGGAUCGGCUAACUCCGUGCCAGCAGCCGCGGUAAUACGGAGGAUUCGAGCGUUAUCCGGAUUUAUUGGGUUUAAAGGGAGCGUAGGCGGGAAGUCAAGUCAGCUGUGAAAUGUAGACGCUCAACGUCUGCACUGCAGUUGAAACUGGUUUUCUUGAGUGCGUAAGAGGCAGGCGGAAUUCGUCGUGUAGCGGUGAAAUGCUUAGAUAUGCAGGAAGAACUCCUAUUGCGAAGGCAGCUUGCUGGGCCGCAACUGACGCUGAAGCUCGAAGGUGCGGGUAUCGAACAGGAUUAGAUACCCUGGUAGUCCGCACAGUAAACGAUGGAUACUCGCUGUCGGCGAUACACAGUCGGUGGCCAAGCGAAAGCGUUAAGUAUCCCACCUGGGGAGUACGCCGGCAACGGUGAAACUCAAAGGAAUUGACGGGGGCCCGCACAAGCGGAGGAACAUGUGGUUUAAUUCGAUGAUACGCGAGGAACCUUACCCGGGCUUGAAUUGCUGGUGGCGGUAGCUGGAGACAGCUUCCUUCCUUCGGGACGCCAGUGAAGGUGCUGCAUGGUUGUCGUCAGCUCGUGCCGUAAGGUGUCGGCUUAAGUGCCAUAACGAGCGCAACCCUUGCCGUUAGUUGCCAUCAGGUCAAGCUGGGCACUCUAGCGGGACUGCCAUCGUAAGAUGUGAGGAAGGUGGGGAUGACGUCAAAUCAGCACGGCCCUUAUGUCCGGGGCGACACACGUGUUACAAUGGGGGGUACAGAGGGAAGCCACCUGGCGACAGGGCGCGGAUCCCGAAAUCCCUUCUCAGUUCGGAUCGGAGUCUGGAACUCGACUCCGUGAAGCUGGAUUCGCUAGUAAUCGCGCAUCAGCCAUGGCGCGGUGAAUACGUUCCCGGGCCUUGCACUCACCGCCGGUCAAG